GAUAGCUCGUACUCCCCGAAAUGCUUUUAGGAGCAGCGUGGAAGUUAGUUUAUCAGAGGUAGAGCUACCGAUUGGACUAGGGGGUGUCACAACCUACCGAAUCCAGACGAACUCCGAAUGCCGUUAAAUAAGCCCGGGAGUGAGGGUAAGGGUGCUAAGGUCCUUAUCCGAGAGGGAAACAACCCAGACCGACAGCUAAGGUCCCUAAGUUCACGCUAAGUUGUUCAAAGGAGGUCGGACUGCAUAGACA
Molecule: ribosomal RNA, 250 nt
Filed under: Gambierdiscus australes
Lineage: Eukaryota; Dinophyceae; Gonyaulacales; Pyrocystaceae
Description: partial Bacterial large subunit ribosomal RNA
Rfam family: Bacterial large subunit ribosomal RNA
Source: RNAcentral